This is a non-coding RNA of Paramuricea clavata, 865 nucleotides long. The record is from the annotation of a GenBank genome assembly. Lineage: Eukaryota; Metazoa; Cnidaria; Anthozoa; Malacalcyonacea; Plexauridae.
CCCCAAAAUGGUGGAUUUUGGCCUGCGUGAGAAAGGCUAAUUUAAUGAUGCCACAACCAGCAAUCGUCCACAAAAUAUAUUGAGACUUUUUAAAUCAAUCCCCUCGCCCCUUAUUUCAAUGUUGAAACCUACUGUACUUGUCCAAAACGAACAUAAGGUGACACUAGCACCGCAACUGUGUCACUGGCAGUUGAAAUUUAACAUAUGAUGUUGGAAUUAAACUAUAUUGUAGUGCCUAACAACAUUGAAAUCGGGGGAGGGGGUUUGUCUCAAAUAUUUUGUGGGCGAUUGAGGGUAGACGUUUUAAACUAAGAAAUAUAUCAGUGGAAUUCUUAUACAUAGCUUGAGCUAUUAAUUAAAUUAGACGGUAUUAUAGCAAUUACAUAGCAUUAAAAUGACCCGAGAAUUGCUCAACUGAUACAAAGUGAUGUUACCCCGGUUGUGACGUCACGCAUAUCCGACGAUGGGUACGCAUAUCCAAGAUGGCGGAAUGCAUGUUAAGUAUUUUGUUUGAAAUGAAAUGAAAUGAAGUGCAAUAUCUUUUAUACCAAAAACGAUAAAAAAAUCUGUGACAAGAUUUUGAAAUGUGUUGAAUCAGUCUUUCAAACGGAGGAAAGGUAUUGCCAUUUCCCUUUACGUUUGUUUAUUUCUGUCCAGUUGUGAUCAAAAUUUGAACUUGCUUGAAGCUAAUGAGAGUUGAUGAUAGUUCACGCUAAAACAAGAGCGAGUAGCAGAUCUGGUGAACUUUAAGCCUAUCCAUGCAGUAGACUGCAGAACAUUAAAAAUUGUGAAAUGUAACUAAUUUUACAACUUUUAAAAUUCAUUAUCUACUUAAUAUGAACACGUUGUUUGAAAUAAAAUUUAU